RNAcentral lists this transfer RNA (74 nucleotides) under Eggerthellaceae bacterium. RNAcentral describes it as "tRNA-Gln". It matches the Rfam family "tRNA". Rfam says of the family: Transfer RNA (tRNA) molecules are approximately 80 nucleotides in length. Their secondary structure includes four short double-helical elements and three loops (D, anti-codon, and T loops). Further hydrogen bonds mediate the characteristic L-shaped molecular structure. tRNAs have two regions of fundamental functional importance: the anti-codon, which is responsible for specific mRNA codon recognition, and the 3' end, to which the tRNAs corresponding amino acid is attached (by aminoacyl-tRNA synthetases). tRNAs cope with the degeneracy of the genetic code in two manners: having more than one tRNA (with a specific anti-codon) for a particular amino acid; and 'wobble' base-pairing, i.e. permitting non-standard base-pairing at the 3rd anti-codon position. Lineage: Bacteria; Bacillati; Actinomycetota; Coriobacteriia; Eggerthellales; Eggerthellaceae. The record is from RNAcentral.
UGGGGCGUCGUCCAAUGGCAGGACUUCGGUUUUUGGUGCCGACUAUUGGGGUUCGAAUCCCUACGCCCCAGCCA